GCUUACGGCCACACCACGCUGAGCACGCCCGAUCUCGGAAGCUAAGCAGGGUCGGGCCUGGUUAGUACUUGGAUGGGAGACCGCCUGGGAAUACCAGGUGCUGUAAGCU
RNAcentral lists this ribosomal RNA (109 nucleotides) under Myripristis murdjan (pinecone soldierfish). Lineage: Eukaryota; Metazoa; Chordata; Actinopteri; Holocentriformes; Holocentridae. The record is from RNAcentral.